This 446-nucleotide ribosomal RNA is filed under the name uncultured bacterium. RNAcentral describes it as "partial 16S ribosomal RNA". It matches the Rfam family "Bacterial small subunit ribosomal RNA", at positions 338 to 795 of the family's 1533-position model. The record is from RNAcentral.
CCUACGGGAGGCAGCAGUCGAGAAUCAUUCACAAUGGGGGAAACCCUGAUGGUGCGACGCCGCGUGGGGGAAUGAAGGUCUUCGGAUUGUAAACUCCUGUCAUGUGGGAGCAAAUUAAAAAGAUAGUACCACAAGAGGAAGAGACGGCUAACUCUGUGCCAGCAGCCGCGGUAAUACAGAGGUCUCAAGCGUUGUUCGGAAUCACUGGGCGUAAGGCGUGCGUAGGCUGUUUCGUAAGUCGUGUGUGAAAGGCGCGGGCUCAACCCGCGGACGGCACAUGAUACUGCGAGACUAGAGUAAUGGAGGGGGAACCGGAAUUCUCGGUGUAGCAGUGAAAUGCGUAGAUAUCGAGAGGAACACUCGUGGCGAAGGCGGGUUCCUGGACAUUAACUGACGCUGAGGCACGAAGGCCAGGGGAGCGAAAGGGAUUAGAUACCCCAGUAGUC